ACUCAAAUGAAUAGACGGGGGCCCGCACAAGCGGUGGAGCAUGUGGUUUAAUUCGACGCAACGCGAAGAACCUUACCUGGGCUCGAAAUGUACAGGAAUUACUUAGAAAUAGGUACGCCCAGCAAUGGGCCUGUAUAUAGGUGCUGCAUGGCUGUCGUCAGCUCGUGUCGUGAGAUGUUGGGUUAAGUCCCGCAACGAGCGCAACCCUUAUCUCUAGUUGCUACCAUUUAGUUGAGCACUCUAGCGAAACCGCCUCGGAUAACGGGGAGGAAGGUGGGGAUGACGUCAAGUCCUCAUGGCCUUUAUGUCCAGGGCUACACACGUGCUACAAUGGCCGGUACAAACCGCUGCGAACCCGCGAGGGGGAGCCAAUCGGAAAAAGCCGGCCUCAGUUCGGAUUGGAGUCUGCAACUCGACUCCAUGAAGCUGGAAUCGCUAGUAAUCGCAGAUCAGAACGCUGCGGUGAAUACGUUCCCGGGCCUUGUACACACCGCCCGU
This 498-nucleotide ribosomal RNA is filed under the name uncultured bacterium. RNAcentral's name for it is "partial 16S ribosomal RNA". It matches the Rfam family "Bacterial small subunit ribosomal RNA", at positions 899 to 1397 of the family's 1533-position model. The record is from RNAcentral.